AUUGAACGCUGGCGGCAGGCCUAACACAUGCAAGUCGAACGAGUGGCGGACGGGUGAGUAAUGUCUGGGAAACUGCCUGAUGGAGGGGGAUAACUACUGGAAACGGUAGCUAAUACCGCAUACCAUCGGAUGUGCCCAGAUGGGAUAAGCUAGCAGGUGGGGUAAAGGCUAACCUGGGCGACGAUCCCUAGCUGGUCUGAGAGGAUGACCAGCCACAGUGAAACUGAGAAACGGCCCAGAGUCCUACGGGAGGCAGGAGGGGAGAAUAUUGAACAAUGGGAGCAAGCCUGAUGCAGCCAUGCCGCGUGUAUGAAGGAAGCCUUCGGGUUGUAAAGUACUUAAAGCGGGGAGGCGUUACCCGCAGGAGAAGCCCCGGCUAAAUCCGAGCCAGCAGCCGCGGUAAUAC
This 406-nucleotide ribosomal RNA is filed under the name uncultured bacterium. Its description in RNAcentral is "partial 16S ribosomal RNA". It matches the Rfam family "Bacterial small subunit ribosomal RNA", at positions 29 to 526 of the family's 1533-position model. The record is from RNAcentral.